UACGUAGGGGGCAAGCGUUGUCCGGAAUCAUUGGGCGUAAAGAGCGCGUAGGCGGCCCUGUAAGUCCGCUGUGAAAGUCAAGGGCUCAACCCUUGAAUGCCGGUGGAUACUGCAGGGCUAGAGUCCGGAAGAGGCGAGUGGAAUUCCUGGUGUAGCGGUGAAAUGCGCAGAUAUCAGGAGGAACACCGGUGGCGAAGGCGGCUUUCUGGGCCUUACCUGACGCUGAGGAGCGAAAGCUGGGGGAGCGAACAGG
Molecule: ribosomal RNA, 253 nt
Filed under: uncultured bacterium
Lineage: Bacteria
Description: partial 16S ribosomal RNA
Rfam family: Bacterial small subunit ribosomal RNA
Source: RNAcentral